UAUUCUCUUCUCUGUCUCUCAACACCUCCAACGGUCAGAUCCCCUCCCCCAACGGUCAGAUCCCUUUUCCUUUCCCCCACCCCCAACCCCUUUCCAGCGACUGAUCCCCCUCCCCCAUUUCCCGGCGUCACCCUCCUCCUCAGGCGACGUCACCUUCGGUAACUACGGAAACUGUCAGUUUUCUUUAUAUCUCUCCUCUCUCUCGUUUUGCUUAGCUUUCCUGCAACCGUAGUAAAAAAUCAAUACAUUCCUCUCCAAUAAAACCUCAGACGUCAAAACGCUUCAUCAAUCCCACGCUUCAUAAUCACAACUGGACAAACAAACAACGUUUUCAUAGCAGCAAAGCUUAUUUCUUUAUACGCUUCUAACAAACACCACCUCAUUUCUUUGAAAAAAGUGUUUGAUUUAAUCAGUUCUAAAGACCCUUUUAUUUGGAAAAAAGUAGAUCUGGUAUUUGAUUUUACGGGUUUUAUUGUAUCACAUUUCUUGCCGAUUUAUAACCAUUGUCUAAUCAAUUGUGUUUUUCCUUUGAAUUUGCGAAUUCAAUCAACAUAAACUACCACCUUUCUCUUUUUCCUCGCUCGCUUUUUUUUUUUCUUUUCUUUUUUUCCUAUUCUCUCUUCUGCUUUCUCUAUGUGUGUGGGGGUGUGUUCUGUUUUCUUGGACAGGUGCCUUAUUUUUCCGGCGAGGAUUUUCGGCAGGCUACAAUACUUCCGGCAACUCUCGUUCAGAUUUUCGGCAGGACACAACAGAACUACCCGUUCCGAUAAGCUUCAGGAAAACUUGCCCCAGGUACUAGUCGCGGCGGCUAGGCCAAUUUGCGGCGUUUGGGAGUGAGGAGCUAAGCAACACCGGUCGGGACGUGCAAGAGUUGGUAACAGUUGACCUCGGGCGCAUCAAAGCCUACUUUCAGGUUUUUCCACCGGGAGUUGGUACCUCCCGCUCUCUUUUUUACUCUGUACACAUUUUUACGGAGCUAAGUAACACCGGCCGGGACGUGCAAGAGUUGGUAGCAGUUGACCUCGGGCGCAUCAAAGCCUACUUUCAGGUUUUUCUAUCUGGAGUUGGUACUUCCCGCUCUCUUGUUUACUCUGUACACCUUUUUACAUAUUCUAGCUAGUAUUCCGUGUUAGGUUUACUCUGUUGCUAUCUAUUCUGCAUCUUUUUGCGUAUUCCGCUAUAGUGCGUGUGUGCGUCACUAUUCUCCAUAGUCGGUUGGAAGAGGGUAGUGGUUGCUCAUAGUUUAAGGAUUGGGUCGUGGAACAUAGGCACUCUAACGGGUAAGUCCAUUCAGUUGGCGAAGGUUCUACCGAAGAGGAGGGUUAACAUAUACUGUGUCCAGGAUACUAGGUGGAAAGGGUCGAAGGCGAGGAAUGCAGACGGGUUUAAGCUGUGGUAUUCUGGGGUU
Molecule: long non-coding RNA, 1408 nt
Filed under: Nicotiana benthamiana
Lineage: Eukaryota; Viridiplantae; Streptophyta; Magnoliopsida; Solanales; Solanaceae
Description: long non-coding RNA (NBEN_LNC040815)
Source: RNAcentral